UUGGAGGGCAAGUCUGGUGCCAGCAGCCGCGGUAAUUCCAGCUCCAAUAGCGUAUAUUAAAGUUGUUGCAGUUAAAAAGCUCGUAGUUGAAUUUCGAGACCGGUUUAUUGGUCGUGCUUUUGUACGUACUGGUAUUAUUGGUUUCUCCUUUCUGACGAACUAUAAUGCCAUUAAUUUGGUGUUAUGGGGAAUCAGGACUGUUACUUUGAAAAAAUUAGAGUGUUUAAAGCAGGCUCACGCUUGAAUACAUUAGCAUGGAAUAACGGAAUAGGACGUUUGGUUCUAUUUUGUUGGUUUCUAGGAUCGACGUAAUGAUUAAUAGGGAUAGUUGGGGGCAUUAGUAUUCAAUUGUCAGAGGUGAAAUUCUUGGAUUUAUUGAAGACUAACUACUGCGAAAGCAUUUGCCAAGGAUGUUUUCAUUAAUCAAGAACGAAAGUUAGGGGAUCGAAGACGAUCAGAUACCGUCGUAGUCUUAACCAUAAACUAUGCCGACUAGGGAUCGGAUGAUGUUAAUUUUUUAAUGACUCAUUCGGCGCCUUACGGGAAAC
RNAcentral lists this ribosomal RNA (548 nucleotides) under uncultured Glomeromycotina. RNAcentral describes it as "SSU rRNA". It matches the Rfam family "Eukaryotic small subunit ribosomal RNA", at positions 548 to 1098 of the family's 1831-position model. The record is from RNAcentral. Lineage: Eukaryota; Fungi; Glomeromycota.